RNAcentral lists this ribosomal RNA (303 nucleotides) under Drepanopus bispinosus. RNAcentral describes it as "partial 28S ribosomal RNA". The record is from RNAcentral. Lineage: Eukaryota; Metazoa; Arthropoda; Copepoda; Calanoida; Clausocalanidae.
UGUGUGGUGGUAAACGGAGGGGUUCUCGAAGUUUCUGUGGGGAACUCAACCUUGGUGUUGGGCAGUCCGGGCGUAUCUGAUCAGCAAUGACUGUGCGUUUGGUCUGGCUUGGCUCCCGGGUGCAUUUUCCCCGCAGUUUACGGCAGGAACCAUUUGGCUCGGAUCAAAGGCCUCGGGUGAAGUUGUUGGUUACGGCCGGCAGCCCUGGGUGUCCUGACUCCGCGCUCGAUGGGUACGUGAGAGGACUCGUAUAGCGAGCAACGCUCUGUUGCGGUUCUCAUCUCUCUGCCGAGUAGGUCGGCG